Molecule: ribosomal RNA, 440 nt
Filed under: uncultured bacterium
Lineage: Bacteria
Description: partial 16S ribosomal RNA
Rfam family: Bacterial small subunit ribosomal RNA
Source: RNAcentral
CCUACGGGUGGCAGCAGUGGGGAAUAUUGCACAAUGGGGGAAACCCUGAUGCAGCGACGCCGCGUGAGUGAAGAAGUAAUUCGGUACGUAAAGCUCUAUCAGCAGGGAAGAAAAUGACGGUACCUAAGUAACAAGCACCUGCUAACUACGUGCCAGCAGCCGCGGUAUUACGGAGGGGGCAAGCGUUAUCCGGAUUUACUGGGUGUAAAGGGAGCGUAGACGGUAUGGCAAGUCUGAAGUGAAAGCCCAGGGCUUAACCCUGGGACUGCUUUGGAAACUGGUAGACUAGAGUGCUGGAGAGGUAAGUGGAAUUCCUGGUGUAGCAGUGAAAUGCGUAGAUAUUAGGAGGAACACCAGUGGCGAAGGCGGCUUACUGGACAGUAACUGACGUUGAGGCGCGAAAGCGUGGGGAGCAAACAGGAUUAGAUACCCGAGUAGUC